Molecule: long non-coding RNA, 9234 nt
Organism: Acinonyx jubatus (cheetah)
Lineage: Eukaryota; Metazoa; Chordata; Mammalia; Carnivora; Felidae
Exons: 2
Source: RefSeq, a predicted model, not a curated record
UCCACAGCAUCAUCAUGGGUUCUCAACAAGGAAUGUAUCUGGGGGGAUGUUACUGAGUCCUGAAAUACCCAUGUGUCUGCAGGCCUUACUCCUAGAUGAAUCAAGAUGAUGUCCGCACAUGAGAAAGGGCUCCCUUGUUUUUGUUCGGUGUGUGUUUAUUCAGUGCUCUAGGUACCCGUGGGUGAAAGCAGAUGUCAUCGCAUCUCUGGGUCGGCGUCUCCAGUUGGCAAAGGAGGCUUGGGCCAUCCGCUGCAGUUUUGUGUGUUGAGGAGCCAUUGUGUCAUCUAUCGCACCUUCGUAUCUUGAGGUGAAAAGCCCUGGGCUCCUCCAGGGUCCUCUUAAAAUGCAGCUAUAUGAUGACACCUCAGUGAGUACCUAGAGUUUCUGGGUUCCUUUGGGAGAGGAACCAUCCUCAGGACCAGAAAGACACCUGCGGACAGGCAGUGCAGAGUGUCCAAAGGCCCGCCUUCCCUUUUCCCCAGGUGUGCACGUGGCCGGGCUUGGUGCCACCCGCUCUCCUCAAAGCUCACUAGGUUUGGGAGCUGGGAACCUGAGCAGAAAGCGUGGCGGUGCUGUUUAGCCUGUUGGCUGAUCUUUGGCUGCUCCACUCCUGUCUCUAGUUGGUAAUUUUCUCAUUGGUAAAACGGAAGGACUAGUAUCUAUCGCACAGAGUGUUUCCCAGGGCUGUGUUAGCUGAGUGCAUGGUGCGAGAGUGUGAUGGCAUUAUCUUCCCCCUAGUUUUGAUGAAAACUGGCUGGUUUUUGUUGAAGGGGGAUUGUACCUAUUUGAAUGAUACCUUUUUAGAAAUAAAUUCAUUCCAUACGUUUUAUUAAUUAAUGGAGUUUUUCUAAUUUUCAGAAGAGAGACGUGUUUUUUUUCUUUCUAUGGUACGCAUUUGUCUUCUAGUGAAAUCUCAGAUAUAGUCUGUAGAAAGGUGGUCGUCACAUCAGCUUCAAACAUUACUACCAGUAUUGCCCCGUGUACCACACGGAGUGUCACAGCAUGCCUGGAGAGGGCAUGCCUAGUGCAAGAUUUCUCUCCCGUUUCUGAAAACUCUUGGGAUGCGCUCUUAGGGAAGGUUAUAAAUCAUUCUUUGAGAGAGUGGGGCGGGAAGGAAAGAGGAGGAGGAGGAGGAUGUCCACCCAGGUAGCUGGCCAGAGGGAGCGAGGUUUUGAAGGCACACAAAUCAGGGUUGUAUCGGGGGAGAAGGCGAGACUUUGUAGUUGUCAGAUGUCUUCCCAACACACCCUGUGAAGCUCUUCUCAGCUUUCAGGUAGGCUGGAUACUCAAGGGAGCUUACACUGUGCGUCAGAACUCCACACUCUGACCUAUCACGUUAUUGUCUUCAGAAGAUGGCAAAUUACUUAUUGAGUCCUGAAAAAAUAACAGUUCUGUUUUAUAAACCUAGGUGGGAAAGUAAUGGUUGGAAACAGGCAUAACAAAUGUUUUGGAAUGUGUUGGAAACACACAUAACAAAUGUGUGGAUUUCUCAAAGGGAUGAUCUGUGGUCUGGUCACCUGGGUCUAGGGUGGGAGUCCUUUUCUUUGUCCUUUCUGUAGAUGCUCGUCUCAGCCCAUUCUUCUCGAGGCCCGUUCUGGGAUCUGUGCCUGCCGGACGAGGCAGUGUGGCAGGCGAGGGGUGCGGAGAGCUUUCUGUUGGCGUGAAUUGGCCCCGAGUGCCGUGGUUUUGGCCCUUGCUCCUCGAUACACACCAUCUACUAGAGAUGGUUUUGAAUUAUUCAAAUCUGGACCUCAGCAAAAUAGCUACACUUAAAUGGAGAUUGCAGAAGAGGAGAUUGGAUUUUCCCCCCCCCUGAGAUUUUAAAUGCAAGGAAAAUAGAACUUUUUGAAUUAAUGAAUUGUUUGAAGCAGUGGGGGGGGUCUCCCCAUUUGUUCUAGCUUUACAAAAUUAAAUCUAUUUUCUGAACUGUCUGGUGGGAAAAUAUUUUUAAGGGAGAUAAUUUCUGAAAAUGUCUUUGUGGUAAGCUGUUAGUGGUUGUGAAUUUUUUUUUUAAUACUGCAGUUUAAUAAUGAGGGAGUUUUCCAUUAAUAUUCCAAACCAUGUUUGCCAGCGGAUACAGCAGGUGAAGUGGUAAAAUUAUGGGCCCAUCAAAAAUACUUAUGCUUCCUGUAAUAUGAUAUUAAGUUUAAUAUUUUUAUAACCUUCACUGAAUUCUAAUUCCACUAAAGUAGCGAGCAUGCUUCCAUUUGCAGUUCAAUUAUGCACAUUGGUUGCCUUUGUACCAAGCAAAUUAGAAAUGCAAAAUACCUGUGGGGGGGGGGGAGGCGUUGGAAAGAGUCAUUAAAGAUACCAAUAUUUAGGUACAGAUACACUUUACUAAGUGUACCCUGGGAAUUGAAAAUGGAUUAAAGACAAACAGAAAUUUAGUGUCUGCAUCUGUAUUUUAAAUUAAAAUUCAAAGAAUUAAGGAGCAGUAUUCACUCCUGACAUAUAGCCCUUUUCAGCACUUAUUUCAAUCACAUUUUAAAGCAUAAAGUUCUUCCAGUAAAAUCCUAAGGAGAGAGAAUGAAUAUCAGCAACUCUUCUUGGAUGGAAACAUUGGUCAAUUAAUGUAAUUGGGUAGUAUCGCCAUUGAUAAUUAAUCCUUUUAAGGUUUUGCUGACUCAGUUUCACGGAGCUGCUUGCUUGCCCUGGACCAGUCAACCUUGGGCUGCGGCUUUUAGGUGAUUAGCACCAGCAUAUAAGUGCACUGCCCUUAGAGAGAGAAGUCAGCCAUUCAUCUGUCAAGUGCUGAUAGUAGGAGCUAAAUUUGGGGGCUUUGGGCAUCUUAACAGCAGCAUUCUUCUUCGUUUGAUCACUUGCUUUGGAAGUCUCUGAUAAGCGAACUCUUUUAUAAAUGGUUUUCAUGAACCAAGUUUAUUGCUCUCAGAUAAGAACAGCUCACAUUUAUACUUAAAAGAUGUCUUUAAUCUUUUUCACCAGAUGAGAGAUUCUGGUGUUUUACAAAAGGAAAUAAACAAGAAUUCAGCCUAAUUAUGUUUUUUAAGAUUUGUUUUUCAAAGUUUACUGUAAUAUGGAAGUUUCUUAAGAAGAAUCCUGUGUUUCUCUUUUUAGGAGUAUGACACGAUUUAUUUAUUCUUUACAUUUUCAAAGAGCAGGAUCAAGAGGACCUGUCAGGGACACUGAGUCUGCCUCACUUCGUGGAAGGCAGCUUCAGCUUUCUGCAGAGUCACUGAGGAGCAAAAAAUUAACGAGCAGCCAAAAGUAACGUUCUUUUUACUCAUGAUAGUUUCUUGGAUAUUUAUACCCCUGAGCGCCUCGACUGGACUCUCUUGUUUACUCUUACUUUAAACUCGCCGUUAGCCUUGUCCUUGUGUUCAGCGCAUCACAGGCUGGAAUGAGGUCAGAGGGCUUUGGGAAGUGGCCACAGUGAAGGGCUGGACAGGAAUACCACAAAGAGCAAGUGGGGGAGAGGAUUGGAAACCACAGCCAGGAUCUGGGAUUACUUAAGCUUCAGGGCAGACCGUUCUCCAUAUUUCACUUAAUCCAUCUCAGGAGCCAUAGCUUCUAGGUCUUUCUCAGAUUGUGUAUGAUGGGUGUUCGUAAUCCCCAGAGUAAUCACGAAAAGGCUAUGUUGUAUUCCGUCGUGAAGUAUUAUAGGAGACAGGAAAGCAUGUUGGAGUUUGUAAAACCAUGUGUAUUUUAAAGGAUAUUUGUAAAAAAGAGUGAAUGAGCCCUGUGUUUUGGCCAGUGCCUGCAUCUGGCACAUCUCAUCUUCUAGUGACGCCGAGGUACAUUUGUACUAGUCUCUGCACAAAUAAAUUAACGAGACAAUGGGAGUUUGUUAUCUAAGAUGCGCUGUGCUGAGUUGGAAAAUCCUAUAGAGAACACAGAGACAAUUCAGUGUUAACUUAUUUAUAAAUAGAUAAAAUUAUUUGUCUGCUAGAUUCCUAGUUCCAUCAGUAGUUCCAUCCUAUCUGUGGAUAGGCAGAGUCCCAGAAAGCAGUUAUGGUUUCAACGCUUUGAGAAUCCUAACAGAAGGAUACAUUGACUCAUGAUAAGGGUGCUUAAGUCUCUUAAGCUGAUCGUGAGCUCUGACUUGUUUCUGAUUAGCUUAGAAAAGCAGAGCGGUGACCACUUUACUACGCCACAAAUGCGGUUUGGGAGAGAAUAGCCUUGUUUGUGUACAGGUGAUACAAAAGGAGGGAGAGAGGGAGAAGGAGACGCGAUGGGGAGAUUGGAAACUAUGUCCUAACCCAUGGGUACGAGGAUGACUGGCUCCGGGAGGUAGAAGAGAAGGGAAGCCAGACGGUUGAGGGUUGAAAAGGGCUUUCUCUCUUCGUGCUGCCCCAAUGAGGUUUCUAGAGGGAACGUGAUUCAGGUGUGCUUUGAAUGUUGGAAGGGAAGAAGGUGCACACCCGGAGCGUGAGACACCAGAACAGGGAGUCCUGCUCCCGGUCUGAUUGGGUAGAGGGGCAGACGCGUGGGAAGGAGCUUAGGCAUCUUCACGUCAACAAUGUCCACUGGUAGGAUAAGGUUCCCAAAUAAGAAUGAGGGUGUGAGAUAGCAUUCUGGUGGCAGCCCCAGUGUUAGGCGAUGUAUCGAACUUGCGUUCUCGGGGUGUGGUCCCUGGGCCGGCAGAAUCAGUACCAUGUUGGAAACACACGUUCACGGCCCCACCCCAAGUCUGUUGAAUCAGAAGCUCUGGAGGUGGGGUCCUGCCACCUGUGUUGUAACAAGAACUCCAGGUGAUUCUGAUGUAUGCUGAACCUUGAGACGCCCUCAUUGCCAAGUCAGAUUAGUGGGUUCAGCCCUGGCAGGUUGGUGUAUUGAGGUGUGAGUAGGGCAGGAAGACCCAGAGAGACAUGCCAGGUGCGGCCAACGUGAUAAGAAGAGGCUUGGGUCAUGACAGAGCACCCUGUGUGGGUGUGGGCACAUGGCCAACACACGUGCAUCCGUGUUGUGGGUUCAGACCAGGAAAUCUGAGGAGACCGGGAGGAGUUGAACUGAUUGUCUCUUACUUGGGAGAGAGGGUUGUUCUGUAGGAGGGUUUUGGUCUGAGGAAUAUGGUGAGGGUGAGUAGGGUGUGUAGGGGGGAGAUUACAUUUGUAGGGUUAUAGGGGCUGUGCAGGGUGACUUGAUUUGGAAGAGAAACUGGGAGGAAGGGAGAAGAUCUCUUAGGUGGAGAAAUCUAGAUGUCCGUGGAGGCCUGAGCUGAGAUUUGGUCACAUAAAUGAGGAGAGAGACAUCUUGAUGGUAAGAUGAUGAGAUCAGGGGUGCCUGGGUGGCUUAGGCGGUUGAGCAUCUGACUCUUGGUUUCAGGUCGGGUCAUGAUGGCAGUGAGGACGGAGCCUGCUUGGGAUUCAUUCAUCCUCUCUCUCUCUCUCUUUCUCUCUUUCUGUCCCUCUCUGCCCCUCUUCCCCGCUUGCACUCUUCUCUCUCUAAACUAAAAAGAAAAAAAGAAAAAAGAAAAGAUUCUGAGAUUAAAAAAUAAUAAAGCAUGUGCCGUGGUGCUUGCAAGACUUUCAUUCGCUUGCUCUGUUCGCACCGUGAUGCAGACGAAAGUGAAUGUGUAACUUGCCUGGCUUCUCCCGGGAAGCUUUUGUCCUGUGCUCAGUCAGCUCGUCACUUCUCUGAGGGGUGUGUGUGGUAAGUGGCAUAUAUUCUGCAUUUCUUCUCUUCUGAAGAAAGUCUGAUCUUACUGACCCUCUCUUUUAUGACCCCCGAAGGCCCUUUCCCAGCAGGACCCCGCUUUUGCCAUCUGUGACACAGCCGACAUUGUUUCAUAAAGCGUUAAUGUUGGUGAAUGGUGAGCGGUCUCCUGGUAACCGGCUUCUUUUUAAUGUAGUAUCAGCACAUACAUUUUAAAAGUAGGAUAGAUGGUUCGUUUAAGAGGGUUUUAUCAUCAGUGUCUCCGAUAUUCAAGUGAAAUAAAUUAAGUUAAUGGGAAGCUCUUUUAUAGCCUGUCACGGAAAAAAGUACAUAAUUUCUGUCACCAUUUGCAUGUAUGGAGCUGAAAGAACAAACGAUUAACAACAUUUAUUCUGUCAUGUUCUCAUAAAGUUCCAGCUAAUAGGGAACAGCAAAUUGAACCGGGCAGGACAUGGUGGUAGCUGAGAAAUACAAACUUUCUGGCGUGAGUUGGGGGCAGUGGUGGACAGGCUGUGGGUUCUGGGCACAGCGAGGGUUCACGAAGCUUCUCGAGGUCUGGGUGGACACUUGCUGUCCUCUCCAGCUGCUGAUUGCGAACCCACGAGGAAAGGAGAGCUGGUCGGUGGCAGGUGGAAGGGGGACCGUUGCCGGGGGGGAGGGGCUGAGCGCCACUUGGACCCUGAGUCUCCUGGAGGCCCGCCAGCAGGUCGUGGUUUUCACUCACGGUGUCGCGCUUCCAGCUCGCCGGCCUCGCUAGUGCGUGGGGCACGUGUGUUUCCAUUUCACGAGUCCCACCCUUCGGAGGGGUCAUCUGGCCUGCCACCUGCGGCUGUCUCCCUGUGCUCUUUCGGGGUGAUUUGCUCACCGCCCGUCCCCGCUGCGUUUGUUGUCACGUUCGUGUUGAACUCGGGUCCGAACGUCAGGGAUACCUUGUAGUGCUUCUUUCAGACCACACCGUGGCAGCCUGGGAGGUAGGAUGUUCUCUAGGCCUGCGGUUGUGCUGGGGACGUCUGUGACGUCUGAGGGUGGCAGGGGAUCUCCGCACCCUUCCGCAGAGGUGGAGCGAGCAGCCGCGAGGAGGUUUGGUUAGCGGAGCACGGGGGGGCCCCGGACCCCUUCCCGUGGUGGGUGUGCUCGCGUGGGCGCUCCUGUCUUCACCCAAGGCCUGGGUACGUGCUGGAGCUCACGGCUCGGUUUGUGUGAAGUGACUUUCUCUUGUAUGUAUUUACUUUUAAGUAAUCUCUACACCCAGCCUGGGGCUCGAACUCACAACCUGGAGAUCGGGACUCGCACGCUCCGCCCGCUGAGCCAGCCAGGCACCCGGGUUGCUUCUCUCUUUUAAACCGCACUUUCUCCCAAGAGGCACGACACAAAGCUGCCGGUGCCUCACUUGAAUGAUUUAGCCAGAUCAUUUUCCUGCUGGAGGGGCACGUGAGGCAGCUUGUUAGGAAUAAUGGCACUCGGCCUUUUGGUCUCAAGACUCUUUUAUACUCCUAGGAACUGAAGACCCAAUGAACUUUUUCAUUUGUGGGUUGUAUCAGUAUUUAUCAUAUUAUACAUUGAAGUGAGACAUUUUAAGCAUACUCAUUCAUUUAAUAACAUUAGUAAGUCACUUACAUGCUAACAGUGACAUUUUCAAUGAAAAAUAACUUCAAAAAUUUAGUGAAAAGCCUGGCAUUAUCUGGCAUGUUUUGUAACUCUCCUUCAUGUCUGGCUCGGUAGAGGGCGGGCUGAACUCUCCCAUCUGCUUUUGCAGUUAGUGUGUUACAGUGUGUUGUUCUGGUGAAUGUAUGUGAAGAGAAACCACUUUACACACGUGUGGUUCAGGAAGGGAAGAGUAUCUUCAGCAGCCUGUCCAGAUAAUUCUGGACAUUGUGCUUUUAAUACUACACCAAAACUUGACAAGGGGCACUUUUCUUCAAGUUUGGUAUAGUGUGGAAUCUGAAGCCAUGUCAGUGAGCUACUUGAACUUUGCUUCACUAAAAUGUGUUGGUCUCUCCUUGCACUUGGAAUGGGCUUUUGAAUACCGAAUAUUAGCAGAGUCAUGCAGAUCUUCCAAAUGCUGACAUACUUCAUGACACAGCAUCAAAAAGUUGCUGAUCUCAUCAGAAAAGUCUUGAAGUGUUAGGGAAACUGAGCUCUUGAUGGCAGAUACCAGCUUUCCAAGAGCCUCAUUUUUGGUACAAAGCUUGGAUUUUCUCGUUGGCACCAGCUAUUGAAAGUCGUUUUCCUUGAAGGGACAGGCACGCUUCGUUUUCGAGACGAUGUCUGCCGUCCAGCCAGGUCUGCGUGGCCGUGGUUUUUCUGUCGAUUGUUCUUUCGAGAAAGUGGUGUUCCGUGAGAAAGUCCUAGCUCUGCUCACGACCCAGACAGUUGUACGGCCGCUUUCCUGGGACAGCGGGUGCCGCGCGCGCAUUCGCAUUUCAUUGCGCCGAGUGUUCGGAUGUGUCGUCAGGGGUCGAGGUUUAGUAAAAUUAGUGAUGGUUAUGGCUUCGUCCAGGAUAUUAAUAAGUGAAAAUGGCCUUUAAAAAACCCUGCCGGUGUGCAGGACACCUGACACGGAGACCCCGCCCCGUGCUGCUUCUGCUCUGCUUUUGGGCCGGCCGGCCCUGUGGAUCUCAGCAUCCCCGCACCGGCACGGGGACGAACGUCUUGGGAUUACCACGACCACGCCGUUGACCUGCUGGAUCACCUCUUGGCCGGGUGUGGAAUCUGACUCUGGAAGCGAGGCCAGUGUUGGCAUGCCGGCCGUGGGGUCUGAGGGAGACCAGUCAGCCUUUCUCAGCCCUUGUCUGGGGGGAAGCACGGGCUUCUUGGGUGGGUUGUCGCGAGGACCGAAUGGGAGAAGUAAUGAAAGCGUGCCUUCUGCGGUGCCUGGUAGGGAGUAGGCACCGGCGCGGCUGUCUUUCUUUCCUUCCUGGGACCUUGUGACGCCACCUGAGCGGUGGGGGCGGGGAGGUGGAAAGGUCAGUCUUGCCCUAGCGCAGGCCUAGAAUCCACAUGCGGGUCUCUUGGCUCUUACUUCUCACUUGCCCUGUUUCCAGGAUUGGGGACAAGAAGGAAAGGGAACAGCAGGUCUCUCUGAGGCUGUUUGUGGGUGGAAAGGCGUUCUCAGAUUCUCUGGACCCGUCUGUCCGUUGUGUACAUGUGAUCCACCGUAGCUUGAACUAAAAGGCCAGCUUCUCUGAGAUGAGCAGUGUCUUCUGAUUGCUGUCGUCUCCUGAGCACUGGGGGCUCUUUACAGAUCAUUCUGGUUCAGCCUCAUCGGUCUCCAUGGUGGAGGAUGAUGGGGGCCGUUCACAGCUGAGAAAGUGCCGUCUCAAGGGCGAGGCAGUUUUUGCUCCUGGAGCCUGUGAGCUGCUGGAAAUCUGAGUGUGGUCUAGGACACAGUUCUCUCCCUUCCUGUCCUGACAGAAUAGCAAAGCAUGACUUUGUCACAGCCAAGUGAAACCGGAAAUUCUCAAAACCUGAUUCACAUUACUUUUUAACAAUGAACAUCUGACAGUAGUUUGCAGACUGACCCAGCUUCAAAAAAGGUUGACAGCCCCCGUCCAAGAAGGAUGACGGUACCUGUGGAGACAUUGGCUCCUUAGUUUAUAAUGUGGGUUUUCCUCAUUGUGG